Molecule: ribosomal RNA, 429 nt
Filed under: Actinomycetes bacterium
Lineage: Bacteria; Bacillati; Actinomycetota; Actinomycetes
Description: Actinobacteria bacterium partial 16S ribosomal RNA
Rfam family: Bacterial small subunit ribosomal RNA
Source: RNAcentral
UAGGGAAUCUUCCGCAAUGGGCGAAAGCCUGACGGAGCAACGCCGCGUGAGUGAUGAAGGUCUUCGGAUCGUAAAACUCUGUUAUUAGGGAAGAACAAAUGUGUAAGUAACUAUGCACGUCUUGACGGUACCUAAUCAGAAAGCCACGGCUAACUACGUGCCAGCAGCCGCGGUAAUACGUAGGUGGCAAGCGUUAUCCGGAAUUAUUGGGCGUAAAGCGCGCGUAGGCGGUUUUUUAAGUCUGAUGUGAAAGCCCACGGCUCAACCGUGGAGGGUCAUUGGAAACUGGAACACUUGAGUGCAGAAGAGGAAAGUGGAAUUCCAUGUGUAGCGGUGAAAUACGCAGAGAUAUGGAGGAACACCAGUGGAGAAGGCGACUUUCUGGUCUGUAACUGACGCUGAUGUGCGAAAGCGUGGGGAUCAAACAGG